GGAAAGUUUGAGAAGCUUUCACAGCCAAGAAGAGCCUGAAGAGACAUGAUAAACAAAUAAAAUGGUGAAUCCUGGAUGCAGCCCUGGAAAAACAACAAAGCGACCUCAGGUUAUGUCUUCUUUUAUAAGACUACCCACUGCCUCUUCUCAAGUAUAUCUGAAGUAUGGCUGGUUGGAGUAUAUCAGGACCCUCAGAGGAGAAAAGCAUAUAAAACCAGCACACCUGAACCCAGGUAAAUGGAAAGACCCUCAUUAUUAUCUUUACCAAAUAUUGACACUUUGCAUUAAUUUAGAUUUAACAGACUACUAAGGGCUUUGUCUCCCCACCUAAAUCUCAUCUUGAAUUUAAUCCCCAUAAUCCUCAUAAUCUCCACAUGUCAAGGGAGAGACCAGGUGGAGAUAAUUGAAUCAUGGGGGUGGUAUCCCCUAUGCAGUUCUCAUAACAAUGAGUGAGUUCUCACGAGAUCUCAUGGUUUUAUAAGGGGCUCUUCCCCUUUUACUCGACGCUUUUCCUUGCUGGACCCUGUGAAGAAGGUGCUUUGCUUCCUCUUUGCCUUCCUCCAUGAUUGUAGGUUUCCUGAGGCUUCCCAAGCAUGCUGAACUGUGAGUCAAUUAAAUCUUUUUCCUUCAUAAAUUGCCCAUUCUUGGGCAGUUUCUUUAUAGCAGUAUGAAAAUGAACUAAUACAACUAAUAGUAAGCUUCUAAUGCAAGAUGACAUUUCUAAAAAUUAUUUUACAGAAAAGAUUCGUUAUGAAUCCGCCAAGACACCAUACUGUUUUAAAUCUGAAGUAAAAGUUAGUCUCAACAAGUUAUUGUAUCUUGUCUGCAUGAGUUUGUCAUUAAAUGAUUCUGAAAUGCAAUGAAAAUGGAAACAUAUUGCUUAAUGAGAAUGAUUUUAUCAAUACCUGCCUUUUCUUUUAAAUUGCUUUCACUGUUUAAUAAAAG
RNAcentral lists this long non-coding RNA (945 nucleotides) under Homo sapiens (human). Its description in RNAcentral is "HSALNT0269274". The record is from RNAcentral. Lineage: Eukaryota; Metazoa; Chordata; Mammalia; Primates; Hominidae.